This 712-nucleotide ribosomal RNA is filed under the name Radima sp. 5 BCOD-2008. RNAcentral describes it as "eukaryotic LSU rRNA". The stretch from base 439 to 712 matches the Rfam family "Eukaryotic large subunit ribosomal RNA", at positions 665 to 894 of the family's 3401-position model. Lineage: Eukaryota; Metazoa; Arthropoda; Insecta; Ephemeroptera; Leptophlebiidae. The record is from RNAcentral.
UAAAGGUCGAAAGGGGAGAUUCAGUAUCCAUUCCUCGCCGCCGCUCCGUGCCGCGGGUACAACUCGGGGCGCCCUUCGGGGAGCCCUGGGCCCACGGCGCGGUCUCGCGCGCGGGAGGUGGAGCGCACUUCUCCCCGAGUAGGACGCCGCGACCCGCUGGGUGUCGGUCUGAGGCCUGGGUGCGAGCCCGUGUCGCGGUUCUUCCGCGACGCGGAGCCCCGGUGUCCCGACCGACCGCUCGGCGGUCGAACGUGAGGAACAGGCCCGCGCUUCACAGCGCGCCCGUGCCGCUUGCGAGCGUCCGGCCGAACCCGUCGCGCGGACUUGUCCGCCGCGGGCCGGUUGGCGUUGUCGGCUGGCGGACUUCUCGGGCAGCGGCCUACUCCUGUCUGCGGCGCUCAAAGUUGGGCGGCCCACCCGGCCCGUCUUGAAACACGGACCAAGGAGUCUAACAUGUGCGCGAGUCAUUGGGUCCAACUAAACCCAAGGGCGCAUUGAACGAGAAGGCCGUCCUUGUGUCGGCCGAGGGAGGAUGGGGCGCCGCUCGCGGCGCCCCCGCAUUCCCGGGGCGUCUCGUCCUACCGCCGCUCGUCGGCGGAAGGUGAGGCGCACCAAGAGCGCACACGUUGGGACCCGAAAGAUGGUGAACUAUGCCUGGCCAGGACGAAGUCAGGGGAAACCCUGAUGGAGGUCCGUAGCGAUUCUGACGUGC